UACAGAGGUCUCAAGCGUUGUUCGGAUUCAUUGGGCGUAAAGGGUGCGUAGGUGGCGCGCUAAGUCAGGUGUGAAAUUUCGGAGCUUAACUCCGAAACUGCAUUUGAUACUGGCGUGCUUGAGGACUGGAGAGGAGACUGGAAUUCAUGGUGUAGCAGUGAAAUGCGUAGAGAUCGUGAGGAAGACCAGUGGCGAAGGCGGGUCUCUGGACAGUUCCUGACACUGAGACACGAAGGCCAGGGGAGCAAACGGG
RNAcentral lists this ribosomal RNA (253 nucleotides) under uncultured bacterium. Its description in RNAcentral is "partial 16S ribosomal RNA". It matches the Rfam family "Bacterial small subunit ribosomal RNA", at positions 524 to 776 of the family's 1533-position model. The record is from RNAcentral.